RNAcentral lists this ribosomal RNA (531 nucleotides) under uncultured Thermobacillus sp. Its description in RNAcentral is "bacterial SSU rRNA". It matches the Rfam family "Bacterial small subunit ribosomal RNA", at positions 33 to 507 of the family's 1533-position model. Lineage: Bacteria; Bacillati; Bacillota; Bacilli; Caryophanales; Paenibacillaceae. The record is from RNAcentral.
ACGUUGACGUCGUGGACUCGAGAGACGCUGGCGGCGUGCCUAAUACAUGCAAGUCGAGCGGAGUUUCCGCGACGGAAGCCUUCGGGUGGAAGACGCGGGGACUUAGCGGCGGACGGGUGAGUAACACGUGGGCAACCUGCCCGGAAGACCGGGAUAACAUCCGGAAACGGAUGCUAAUACCGGAUAGGCGGUCUUCUCGCAUGAGGGGACCGGGAAAGGCGGGGCAACCUGCCACUUCCGGAUGGGCCUGCGGCGCAUUAGCUAGUUGGCGGGGUAACGGCCCACCAAGGCGACGAUGCGUAGCCGACCUGAGAGGGUGACCGGCCACACUGGGACUGAGACACGGCCCAGACUCCUACGGGAGGCAGCAGUAGGGAAUCUUCCGCAAUGGGCGAAAGCCUGACGGAGCGACGCCGCGUGAGUGAGGAAGGUCUUCGGAUCGUAAAGCUCUGUUGCCAGGGAAGAAGACUUGGGAGAGUAACUGCUCUCAAGGUGACGGUACCUGAGAAGAAAGCCCCGGCUAACUACGUG